This 405-nucleotide long non-coding RNA is filed under the name Helianthus annuus (common sunflower). RNAcentral's name for it is "sRNA HanXRQr2_Chr04g0170361". The record is from RNAcentral. Lineage: Eukaryota; Viridiplantae; Streptophyta; Magnoliopsida; Asterales; Asteraceae.
GGGUGGUCGACCAGAGUAGUGAAAGAGAGGGAGAAGCUCCCCCAUAACCUAAUCCAUCCAUUUCUGCAAAUUGAAAGGCAAAAUCGGGUUGAAAUAUCGUGCAUGAUUCGAAAUAUUGAUCACCUAGUCCAGGAGACCACAAGGAAACUCGUGUGAAGCUUCGGGAAGUCAAGCCGGUGUGAACGUACGAUUGAAGGAAAAGCUUUAAGGUGGUUGUUAUGAAGUCACGGAUGAUGAUCAAGCAUAGUGAAGAACCGAACACAAUCUAAGAUCAAGCUUCCGCGUUUUGUUUAGUCGUUUAUGAAACCAAACAUCGUUAACAUGUAGUAAUGAUUUUGAAUACUUAUGAAAUUUUAUUAAACUUACAAAUGAGUAUAGUUUAUGUAUUUGCAUUAUGAACAGAUA